GACGAACGCUGGCGGCGUGCCUAAUACAUGCAAGCCGAGCGAGCUUGCCUAGAUGAUUUUAGUGCUUGCACUAAAUGAAACUAGAUACAAGCGAGCGGCGGACGGGUGAGUAGCACGUGGGUAACCUGCCCAAGAGACUGGGAUAACACCUGGAAACAGAUGCUAAUACCGCAUAACAACAAAAGCCACAUAGCUUUUGUUUGAAAGAUGGCCUUGGCUAUCACUCUGGGAUGGACCUGCGGUGCAUUAGCUAGUUGGUAAGUAACGGCUUACCAAGGCAAUGAUGCAUAGCCGAGUUGAGAGACUGAUCGGCCACAUUGGGACUGAGACACGGCCUAAACUCCUACGGGAGGCAGCAGUAGGGAAUCUUCACAAUGGACGAAAGUCUGAUGGAGCAACGCCGCGUGAGUGAAGAAGGGUUUCGG
RNAcentral lists this ribosomal RNA (425 nucleotides) under uncultured Lactobacillus sp. RNAcentral's name for it is "bacterial SSU rRNA". It matches the Rfam family "Bacterial small subunit ribosomal RNA", at positions 28 to 421 of the family's 1533-position model. The record is from RNAcentral. Lineage: Bacteria; Bacillati; Bacillota; Bacilli; Lactobacillales; Lactobacillaceae.